RNAcentral lists this ribosomal RNA (371 nucleotides) under uncultured Imtechium sp. RNAcentral's name for it is "bacterial SSU rRNA". It matches the Rfam family "Bacterial small subunit ribosomal RNA", at positions 527 to 898 of the family's 1533-position model. The record is from RNAcentral. Lineage: Bacteria; Pseudomonadati; Pseudomonadota; Betaproteobacteria.
GUAGGGUGCGAGCGUUAAUCGGAAUUACUGGGCGUAAAGCGUGCGCAGGCGGCUUUGCAAGACAGAUGUGAAAUCCCCGGGCUCAACCUGGGAACUGCAUUUGUGACUGCAAGGCUAGAGUACGGUAGAGGGGGAUGGAAUUCCGCGUGUAGCAGUGAAAUGCGUAGAUAUGCGGAGGAACACCAAUGGCGAAGGCAAUCCCCUGGACCUGUACUGACGCUCAUGCACGAAAGCGUGGGGAGCAAACAGGAUUAGAUACCCUGGUAGUCCACGCCCUAAACGAUGUCAACUGGUUGUUGGACGGCUUGCUGUUCAGUAACGAAGCUAACGCGUGAAGUUGACCGCCUGGGGAGUACGGCCGCAAGGUUGAA